GUGUUAAACAGCUUUAAUCGCGGUCAUUGCUGCUUCUCGGCACAGUAAGAAAUAUUGCACAUGAUCAACAUGUUUUGUUCUGGGAUGGGGGCAAGGGCAGGGGGAAUUACCUUCUUAGAAAGUACAACCCAAGUUGCGAGGGCAGAGGGAUAGGGAGAGAACCCUCCCCAUGCCUGUGGCAAAAGUGCAGGAGCCCCACCCCCAAACUAACCUGAGUCCAGCCCCUCUGGGGAAAAACGGGGUACAUGAACUCCCCCUACUCCACAGGCACCUCCCUGUGGCCCAAGGCCCACACUACCUUCCAGCUUGCAGCCCUCACAUGAGCCAUUUUGCAUAAAGUACAAGUGAAAAGCUCUGAAGGUCACACUCCCGGUUAUGAACAGGGGCUCAGUAGAGGGACUGUGCCCCUGCUUCUCCUCAGCUGCCCCCCAGCACAGGGAGGGAACUGCGGGGAGGGACUAUAUACAAGAGGAGCAGGCCUCAUUCCGCACCAAACUGGAAAGGACGAAAUGGCUUUACUGGGGAGGAGGUAACCAUCCCCCUGCCCCCCCCCCUUCCUGCCACCUACAUACUGUCCAUGUCCUGAGGGGAAGUACUGUGGGUCCUGGGAUCUUCUCAAAAGGGCCCCUCACCUGCUUGUGGCAGCUGUGGAAGGGCCUGAGAGUGGAGAGGAAGGCUGGGGGGGGCCCCUCCCAGCCAGGCUGUCCAGGUCCCGGCUCUGGGGGUGGAGGCAGUGGUGGGGCAGCCUGGACUGUGCCAGAGUCCGAGCCAGGUAAGGUGGGGUCGGGGCCUCCAGCAGGGCUAGGCGUGGAAGCAGGGGUAGCAGCAGUGCCAGCUGGGGGCGGUCCAGGGAGGGGGGGCCUCAGCUCCAGGGGGCUGCUCCGUGGGAGUGGCUGCCUGCAUGAUCUUCUGGCGCACCUCUCGGAUCUUCAGUUGCAGACAAACCUUAGACGGGAAGAUGUCUGCAUAGCGGGCCUGGAAGGCUGCUGUAGCCUGGGCUGGGGACAGAAAUUGUGGAGAGGGCAGGAUGAGAUACUAAGCAAGUCCCAUCCAAGUGACCUCCAAGAGUCUAAGACACACUCACCUGAUGGGAAGAAGCCAUGGUCCUGGAAGAGCUGCAUGACCAGGGCCCGACGCUGGUCCAGGGUGCGCCGAAGUGAGGAGUAUGGCACCUUCUCAUAUUCCAGCUCUCCUAGCACAUCCUCAGCCUCUGUACCUGCAGGGCAAAGAGAGCAGGGUCAAGACUACAAAAGCACGGGCAUGGUGCAGGCCUAUAAUCCCAGCACUUGAGAAGGUGACAUAGGAGGAUUGCCAGGAGUUUGAGGCCAGCCUGAUUUACAGAGCAAGAGCCUGUCUCAAGAAAGAAAAAAAAAAAACCACUACAAC
This 1386-nucleotide long non-coding RNA is filed under the name Heterocephalus glaber (naked mole-rat). RNAcentral's name for it is "lncRNA (ENSHGLG00100042878.1)". Lineage: Eukaryota; Metazoa; Chordata; Mammalia; Rodentia; Bathyergidae. The record is from RNAcentral.